RNAcentral lists this long non-coding RNA (287 nucleotides) under Mytilus galloprovincialis (Mediterranean mussel). Lineage: Eukaryota; Metazoa; Mollusca; Bivalvia; Mytilida; Mytilidae. The record is from RNAcentral.
UUAAAACGUUUAGCUGAUUUCACAUAGUUAUCUCCCUGUAAGGUUAGGUACAACCUUAAGAUUGGGAUCGAACGACCCUGGCACCUGUGUGUUCGAACUCACAACCUCCGUGUCAACAUCAGGUUAGUAAUGAUGUAGGUGAACUACCAAUUCCUUUUAUUAGAUACUAAUAGUAUGCAAAAACGUAUAACAAAAAUUUACCAGACAGCACCUGAUGUCACAAACAAACAGCAACAUACAUUUAAUUAAAGGAAUAGCAAUAGAAAUUCAACAAAAGUUCAAAUAUG